UCCGUGCAUCGGUUUUCAAGUUUUUGUUUCUAAAAGCAAAAAAACACAAAACGAAAACGAUGCCCUAGGAAACACAGCUCCCUCCGUCGCCUUCCGCCCUCGCCUUCGCCUUCGGCGAUCGCCUACGUUGGGAUCGUCCCCUCGCCGUUCUCCUCGGUGAUGGCUGAUUUUACUGGAAGCGAUUUUCAAGGGGAGGAGAAUGAUACUGAUAUAGUUGAUGAGGGUGGUUUCAAUGUUAGUGUGUGGCCAGAUGAGAUCGAAGAAAGGUUCAUCUACAUCAUGGAGGCAGAAGUUAACAAAGGCAAUAGAACAUCAACAACUUUUUCAAAGCCUGCAUGGCGUGCCAUUGAGGAAACUCUCAACACACAAACAAAAAGGAACUACACUUACACACAACUCAGAAAUAAGUUCAACCAACUAAGAACCCGACAAAAGGACUUUGCUAACCUAAUGAAGGAGACAGGGGUUCGCUGGAACCCAGUGACAGACUCUGUUUCUGCGACAGAUGAGGUGUGGGAACGCCUGUAUAAGGUGUACAAGUCUGCAAAGAGAUUCCGUAAGAAGGGAUGCCCUUUGUUUAACAAAUUGUGUGUGAUUUAUGGAGACACAACGGCAUCCGAUUUCUGUCAACAUAUUUCGAACAAUAAUCCCCUGGACACUGAUGAUAGAGAGGAGAUUGAUGGGAUGAGCUUAGAGGCAUCAUUUAAUGAGCAAUCUGGUGGUACAGGUGUGCUGUCUGCAGUUCCCAUACGAAGCCAAUCUUUCAACCCAUCAAGCUCUCGUCGGGGAAAAAGAAAUAGUUUUUCCACUCUCCAGACUAGUAGUUUGACUUCUCCAGGUGAAAAUUCAAAGAAAAAGUCUGAUACAACUGAGAGAAAAAUGACAGUUACUCCCUCACCAUCAAAGUCAACUUCUGAGACUGGAUCCACUAUCAAGAAACUUAUUGUAGAAAGCAUGCAAGCACUGAAUGCCCUAGAGGGCAUAGAUGGAGUAGCAUACUCCAAGGCAGUUGAGCGGUUUCAUGAAGAUUAUAUGUGGAUGGAGCUAUUUCUGCAGAUGACAGAGGAUAGGAAAAAAGAUUGGGUGUUAAAUAUAAAAUAAUGGUGGAUGUGCCAAUUUUACUGGUUCACAUGGAAUCCAGUGUUAAAAGAAGCUACCAAAUAAAAUCAAUGUGUAUGACUUUUCUAUUCUCACGAAGAGAUGGGACCUCUUAAGCCCCUCAUUUAUCUCCUUCAGUUAAAAGCAGCUACCGGCGGCUUAGUGAGUUUGCUCCUAGUUGAAGUAAUUCUAAAGGAGUGUGCAAUAUUCUUCCAGGCAAGAUAACAAGCUGUUCACUUUUUUAAAUUUCAUGGACAAUCAUCACUGAGCAAUUAAAAUUUGUGCUACCAGUGUCUGUGGAGUGUCUUAUCAAUGCAAUAUUUUUCUUUUCUUGUUCUUUUAGAUGGAAAUACAAGACUACCUAUAUAAGCUUAAUGCAAUCUCCUGUAUAUGCUAAUGUGUUCAUGAUCAAAAUUUUCUUGUGUUGACCUUACAGAUUGUGCUACUUGGUUUAGUUGAUACAGAUUCCUGGUUUUACAGAAAUACCUUAAUGCUUCUAGAACCUACCAUUUUUGGGGUGAUUAUUAUUAGCCUAUAUGCUAUUACUUGCCUUACAAGUGGAACUCGUUUCUUACUUUUGUGCUACAUUUCAGGUUUGGACAUCUGCAGUUGUUGUAAUUGCUCUGAUCUGAGGCAGGAUGCGAUGAUGGAUGAACCAUUUAGAAGUUUAGAGCUGGUUUGUGUGGCUACUUAAAUCACAUUCCCUAGUGCUGCCACCCCUGAUUUUGCUGCAGAGCCUGCACUCAACUUGCAGCAGAUAUAGAGGAUGAGACCACAAACACGGAUUCUCCUAUGGAAUUGUUGAGUUUGUGUCUUUAGUUUGUUGCAUUAGUAAUAUCUUCUUUGUUGCUCAUUAAAUAAUUCUCUUUCGACCUUUUAUUUUUUUUUUGCUUUUGAUGGAUGUGUAGAUUUCAUUUUGACAGUUUUGCAGGGUUCGUUUAUUGUUGGUUUGCAGAUUUAUUUAAUUUGUAGCAAGUGCCAUACGAAAAAAUAUUCACUUGUAUACUACCAAGUAGAAUUGCAAUUCUUGUUGCCUACAACUGAAAUUUGCAGAACUUGCUGUUUGAAUAGUUGUUGUCUACUGAAAUCACUAUACCUGAAAGCAUCUGAACAUUUAUUUGCUCUAUCAUGAAAACAAGAAACAAAACAAAAAGACCAAGUGAGCUAAUUUUAAUUGAGACCUACUGCUGAGAUAAUUCGAUUUUGAUUUUAUCAGGUUUUAGUACUUCAGAUCCCCUCAAGUUGAUAAGAAGCUCUGUUAUAUUUUGAUGUAUUAAUUUUGUAGGUUAUAUGGAACUCACAACUUUGCCUGAUGUUAUAUUGGUCUCAUGCAGGUUUUUGGCACUUGGUUUCAUCCAUGUGAAGUAAACGGGCCCUUGUAUAUUAUCAUGCUUUGCAAUCUUGAAUUUAGUUAUGGGUUAUUUGCUCUUAAAAUGAAUCAGAGCUUGUCUAACAGUGUCUACCCAACUUUAAUCUAAACUGUAAAGGAUGAUGAUAUAAAUAAUAACUUGAACUGCUUUUUUUUUUUAUAUAAUAUUUGAGCUUAUAGCCUCUAGUAUAACUAAUCAUGAUUUUGAAGUGCUUAAUCAUUAUUUAUGGAGAUACAUUCCCUGAUUCAUUAUGGUGAAAGCCAUUUAUCAGUCUUCAAAACAGGGACCUUAUGCACUUGAGGGCUUCAUGUCAAUUAGAUCAAUGGGCUAACAUACAUAAUAUGAUGGUUUUAUUGUUGUCAUGAAUCAGGUUAAAGAGAGCUUGCUGGAUCCAGUUCUUUGUUCAUGUUCAGUCAAAGAAGAAAAUUUGUUCCUUAGGAUGUCAAGAAUUAAAGCCCCAUUACCAUCCUUCAGCUCUUGGUUGGUUCAAACUUUAAACGUAAGUCUCAAGUUUAAGCAUUGUAGUGUGAGUUAAGAUCCUCUAUUUCAAUGAAUGUUUCCAAUGAGGCAUACAGCUGCAUUGUAAUGACAUCCACCCUUGAGGGUUGGGUGGAUCUGACUGGAAAUUGAGAUUAUCAUCCUUAUUAUGUUUAAAGCAUGAUUGUAGCUAAUUCUUUUACCAUCAAGAAGACUUGUGCUUGAAAUUGUUUGAGUCCACUGGUGGAAUUCAACCAGUAGCAGAAGUGAAGAAAUCAUUUAUUUCAAUGGAAGAUGGUUUUACUCGACACCAAAGACAGGAGUGAGUGGCUCGAAGCAACUCGAGAGACCUGGAAGAAAAGCUUUUCACCUUGAAAACGACACUAGAGGACUGAGACAUGGAAGGAUAUUGUGAUGGUUUUAUAUAUGCUUGGUAACUAGUCAAUGUUUUAUUGUUAUACAGUGAAAUGUUCUCAUUAAACAAUUAAAUCUCAUGGACUUUGAGAAGUA
Musa acuminata AAA Group (dessert banana) is the source of this 3455-nucleotide RNA transcript. It is a transcript of the gene named L10-interacting MYB domain-containing protein-like, with no coding region annotated. The record is from RefSeq and is a predicted model, not a curated record. Lineage: Eukaryota; Viridiplantae; Streptophyta; Magnoliopsida; Zingiberales; Musaceae. The transcript has 5 exons.